This 253-nucleotide ribosomal RNA is filed under the name uncultured bacterium. RNAcentral's name for it is "partial 16S ribosomal RNA". It matches the Rfam family "Bacterial small subunit ribosomal RNA", at positions 524 to 776 of the family's 1533-position model. The record is from RNAcentral.
UACGUAGGUGGCAAGCGUUAUCCGGAUUUACUGGGUGUAAAGGGCGUGUAGGCGGGACUGCAAGUCAGAUGCGAAAACCACGGGCUCAACCUGUGGCCUGCAUUUGAAACUGUAGUUCUUGAGUACUGGAGAGGCAGACGGAAUUCCUAGUGUAGCGGUGAAAUGCGUAGAUAUUAGGAGGAACACCAGUGGCGAAGGCGGUCUGCUGGACAGCAACUGACGCUGAGGCGCGAAAGCGUGGGGAGCAAACAGG